Lolium rigidum is the source of this 2651-nucleotide long non-coding RNA. RefSeq lists it as uncharacterized. NCBI's taxonomy places the organism in Eukaryota, Viridiplantae, Streptophyta, Magnoliopsida, Poales, Poaceae. The transcript has 5 exons. The record is from RefSeq and is a predicted model, not a curated record.
CUUCCUCCCCAAAUCUAACUGAAAUUCGUCUAUGGAGGACAAUCUCAGUUGGGAAUCCAGAGACCAAGCAGCGACCUCGAGGCGGCGCCGCCCUCCCGCCCCUCUCUUUCUCCUCUGCCUCGGCCCUUCGGCUCCACGGUAAACCUUCACUGAGAAGAGGACUGGGGCGACCUCCACCCUUGACUCCGGCGUCCCAUGCAGGGUGGAUGAAGAAUAGACAGGUGCAGUUGCCGAGUUGGAGUUCCGUCCAGCGCUUCAAUGGAAUCCCGAGUUUUCUCCUCAACUCCGGCCACCACCACCACCCAGCCGUGAGUUAGUCCGCCUUUCCCGACUACAAGUUCAGUACAUACAUGCUCUUUGGUGUCAUCAACAGAAAUGAAGCUGAGGUGGUCUCGGAGGGAACAACCCAUCCUCGGUCUCUACCAGAGCCAAGGUCGUUGGCAGCCUCAAUCCCGAGUUCCGACCACCCUCCCCCAGCGGCUGCAACAGACAAAUGCCUCCUUACUGUCCAGAGUAGGGGCUGUUUUCUGUCUGAAAUUGUUGGUAAUUGUUGAACAACUCAAAUGAGAAUAAUACCGCAGAAACUUUCUGGUAGUUACUUCCAGCGAAAAUGGAGGAUGAUGUGCGCUUCACCACAUCGUAAGUCCUUUACCUUCUAAUAAUUGUUGCCCAUAUAUUUUGUUCAUUGUGUUUUUUACAUGUUGUCCUAUGGUGUAAAUACAGAUUUGUCGCUUGGUGUUGUGUUUGAGGACCUGUGCUCAGUGAAAGAAUACUAUGGCAUAAGGUUUAAUUUUUGGAUGGAGGAGCGUGUUCAACAGCAUAGAGAUGUAUUAAUUUUCACAUAGACAUUGGGUACGUUAAUAGGGCAUGCUUAUUUGCCAUUAUACGACACAUGCAUACCCAUGGCUUAUUUCAGUUCUUCAAAAAGCCUGAAGAGAAAAUCCAUGGCAAGGAACUUGAAUAAACGAAUUUAUAGGAUUAACCUAAGGUGAUUGCUUUGAAAAAUUUAUGUAAAACAAUCAGAUUAUAUAUUUGAUUAUACGAAUUAACUUAUUACUCAAGAGACUCGGGAUACUGAAAUUAAACGUAUUAGGAAGAGCCUGCCAUUUAAAGCAUAUUCUAAAAGCUGAGUUGAAAAAGAUACUUAUGUCGGAUUACUUUAUCUACCAAGGUUUUGCUUACUUCUUCAAUGUAAAUAGUUCAUAUAAUCCAUGUGCAUCUUUUUUUUAUAUUUGAAGUAAUAUUGAUGUAUGGUUCAGUAAGCAAUAUUCACACAUCUUUCUUUAUUUCUUUUUACUAGAGUUUCUUACUUUAUGGUUCCUGGGAAAUGAGAAAUUUUCAAGCUUUUUGUAUCUUUGUGUACGCUCUUAGGAAAAUCAGGUAGAUUUGGGCAUUCAACAGUCCUUUAAGAAAAAAACACCUUGAGACAGAACGGUGAAACCUGAUGGUCCAUGAAUUGUGAUGUGUAAAUCUAUGCCAAAGAUAUAUAUGAUCGUGCUAUAUAUAAUUGGUGUAUAUCAAUGUAUCUCAACAAGUUUUUCCAACUGCAUGUGAACUUAUUAAAUAAUAUAGGUUGCGUGCCCUGAAAUAUGUUAGUUGCUUGCUCCACUAUAGUUUGUUUCGCUCUCUCAAUGUACAGUUGUCGCUUGAAAUAACAUUGGCCUUAAACAAGUUCUAAUUCUGUAAAACUUUCUUAGUAAUUCAUGGAGUUGGAUAAGACUUCUGCACAUAAUGUGCUACAUGACGUGUUCUGAUCUCUGCUUGAAUGCAUGAAUACAUGAUUAUUUAUGGUAUAAUAGUAACAUCUGAAAUAUCAAAUAGCUAUGUCCAUAUAUCACUGGCUUGGAAAGUACAGGUUGUUAUGUGCAUAGCUUUAGAUAGAAGUGUAGGCUAGAUUUUCUGUACAUUCACUUCAAGCUUUCGUGUGAUGCUGGAUAGAGGUGUUUCGUAUUCUUUCCUCCAUUGCAGAUUUUCUGUCAUAUGCAUCAAGUGAGUAUUCCACUAUUGAUACAGUUAGUUUUCUCAAGUAUCUUUCAGAGUCUGAACUAGAAAGAGGGGGUGUAUAAGUGCCAGGUCAGAGUAUUUGUGGUGGAAUCCUAGCAUCGUUGGGUACUGAAUAUGAGAAGUGGGAGAUGAUCAAGGCUCUAGUGUUUGCAUAGCGAGUCUUACCAGCAACUGCGCCAGGAAGGAGCGCAUACAACAGUUAAUAAUGCUAGCUUCAAGACCUGCGUGUGAGCGCACGAUAAUCUGUUUGCGGUGAGCACAUGACAAUCUCCUCCAGUAAGACAACACAAUGCAUCUGAAGCAUGAUGGACUGCUCAACCAGCAUACGGUUCUUCAGCAGAACACCGGGCUUUGCCAAAACCAACUCAAUUUGCUCCAUCAUCACGCUGCUCUCCUCAUCACAGCCACCAUGUUCCCAUCAUGUUGUGCUGGUUCUCCCCAAGUUACUCUGCUUAGAAAGUUUGAUUAUUACAUUAUUCUUACUUCCUCAUCCUUGGUAAAGAUAGCACAGUCAAACGUUCAGACUCUUACUACAGAAAAUCUCAAAAUAUUUGUUGUCUUUUCCUAUGAAAUUACACUUGAAUUAUAUAAAAUAAAUAUGUAUAUCACUUAAUUAGAAUGUAAGGUAAGCCUUCUUUAAUAUUGUC